This 466-nucleotide ribosomal RNA is filed under the name uncultured bacterium. Its description in RNAcentral is "bacterial SSU rRNA". It matches the Rfam family "Bacterial small subunit ribosomal RNA", at positions 329 to 792 of the family's 1533-position model. The record is from RNAcentral.
UCCCAGACUCCUACGGGAGGCAGCAGUGAGGAAUAUUGGUCAAUGGGCGGGAGCCUGAACCAGCCAAGUCGCGUGAGGGAUGACGGCCCUAUGGGUUGUAAACCUCUUUUGCCGGGGAGCAAAGUGCCGCACGUGUGCGGUUUGGAGAGUACCCGGAGAAAAAGCAUCGGCUAACUCCGUGCCAGCAGCCGCGGUAAUACGGAGGGUGCAAGCGUUGUCCGGAAUCAUUGGGCGUAAAGAGUUCGUAGGCGGUAUGUUAAGUCUGGUGUUAAAUGCAGAAGCUCAACUUCUGUUCGGCACUGGAUACUGGCAAACUAGAAUGCGGUAGAGGUAAAGGGAAUUCCUGGUGUAGCGGUGAAAUGCUUAGAUAUCAGGAGGAACAUCGGUGGCGUAAGCGCUUUACUGGGCCGUAAUUGACGCUGAGGAACGAAAGCCAGGGUAGCAAAUGGGAUUAGAUACCCGCGUC